Myotis lucifugus (little brown bat) is the source of this 134-nucleotide small nucleolar RNA. Ensembl annotates it as small nucleolar RNA SNORA38. The record is from Ensembl. NCBI's taxonomy places the organism in Eukaryota, Metazoa, Chordata, Mammalia, Chiroptera, Vespertilionidae.
CCCUCCUACAAAGGCAUGUCUGUGGUUCCCUGUCUUUGGACACUAAGAAUUGGAGGCAAAGAAAGAAAUGUAGACUUGGAGAAAUCUAGAGCCAGCUUGCUCCCUGCAGGUUCAAGAUCAACCAUCCCAAAUAG